Non-coding RNA from Hemibagrus wyckioides, 340 nucleotides. Lineage: Eukaryota; Metazoa; Chordata; Actinopteri; Siluriformes; Bagridae. The record is from the annotation of a RefSeq genome assembly.
CUCAUCCAUCAUGUUCACUGUUAUAUUCAUGUGUCUGUGGCUUUCACUAGGUGACUCCAUGGCAGAUUCAAUAGAGCCACUUUUCAAUUAUAAAGCUGUAGAUGAAGGUGAUGAUGUUACUCUGUCCUGCAAAUACAAAUUCAGUAUUUCAGGAAUCAACUACCUGCAGUGGUACAGGCAAUAUCCAAAAUCUAAACCUGAGUUCCUGCUUUAUAUUUCUACAAAUGGAGAUCCAAGUCAAAACAUCCCCCCAAGAAUGUCUCCUAAAGUUCAUGGUGAUGAACAAGUGGAUCUGAUCAUCUCCUCUGCUGCUGUAUCAGACUCUGCUUUAUACUACUGU